Tupaia belangeri (northern tree shrew) is the source of this 132-nucleotide small nucleolar RNA. NCBI's taxonomy places the organism in Eukaryota, Metazoa, Chordata, Mammalia, Scandentia, Tupaiidae. The record is from Ensembl.
UGUCCUUGGCCUGGAUAGAGUGACAUUUGGCUGGUGCUCACCUCAUAACAGCCAGGGACAAAACAACCCUUCAUUUAUCCCAGUUUGACUUUUGGUUAGUGCCCAUACCUGGUUCAUGCCUUGGACACAUGA